UGUUAAAACUUCAACCUUUUGUAUUGUUAAAAACUAGUAUGGCUGACCAAAUAACCCGACAGUGAUAUUGGCAUGUCCCGUGUACCUCAUGCUGAUGUACAGGGACUAGUUUUUAGCAGUAAAAAUAGAUGAAAUUUUUAACA
Non-coding RNA from Gossypium raimondii (Peruvian cotton), 143 nucleotides. The record is from Rfam. Lineage: Eukaryota; Viridiplantae; Streptophyta; Magnoliopsida; Malvales; Malvaceae.